This is a long non-coding RNA of Neopelma chrysocephalum (saffron-crested tyrant-manakin), 1607 nucleotides long. RefSeq lists it as uncharacterized. NCBI's taxonomy places the organism in Eukaryota, Metazoa, Chordata, Aves, Passeriformes, Pipridae. The transcript is spliced from 2 exons. The record is from RefSeq and is a predicted model, not a curated record.
CCUCGGGCUCCGUGAGGGGCUGGGGGCGUCCUGAAGACAUGGAGGGAACCCCGGGCGUCGUGAGGGGCUGGGGGCGUCCUGAAGACAUGGAGGGAACCCCGGGGGUCGUGAGGGGCUGGGGGCGUUCUGAGGGCGUUGAAGGAACCCCGGAGGGGCGUGAGGGGCUGGGGGCGUUCUGAGGACAUGGAGGGGCACUCGGGGGUUGUGAGGGACUGGAGUCGUCCGGAGGACAUGGAGGGACCCCUCGGGGUAGUAAGCGGCUGGGGUGGGCGCCAUGAGGGGGUAGAAGCGCUGUGAGGGUAUAGAGGAGACUGAGCCGCUCCCUCGGAGUCAUGAGGGCACGGAGGGGGCUUGAGUAGCUGCGGGGGUCUGUGAGGGCUGUGUGUGCGUGGUCCACGGGGGAAACGCUGCUCUGGGUUUUCCUGUCAGCCUCAGGCUAUGCAAAUGCUGCUUUCCCAGAAGUUUUGGAGUCCCUCGCCCCACAGUCGGUAGGUUGAGGGGUGCGCCUGUUCGCUGGAAAACGCGAGCUCUGAGUCAGCUGCGUGGGGAAAUCCAGCGCUGCUCAGACCGUCCCGGUGUUUUCUUCCUAAAUGUGCCUCUGACUCCCUGUGGAGUCCGUGCUCGGAGGCUCGGGAUGCAGCACUUGGUCUCGCUGGUGGUGGUGGGAUCCCGAGCCCCUCUCACUUUACCUACAGCGGGUGUGAAUAACAGCUUCUCUGACAGGGAUGCUUAGACUUCCAUCACUGUGUUUUUGCCGUGUUUCGAAGGAAAAAGAACAGCAAGAAGUAAAAUUGAACCCUUCAUCCUCUGAUUUGCAGUGGGCAUUAAAGUUUAGUUGCUUAAAAGAAUUAUUUACAGGUGGGUAAUGGUAAAAGGAGCUCUCCUUGUGUGUCUGGUCAUUCAAACCACAGCACAUACUGACUGCUGAAGUGUGGAAAGAACGGAGGAAGAAAAAUGAUGAUGCAUUUUUUUCCUUCAUCUUGUGAAACAAUUUCACGGAAGACAGGAUUUGGGUAAAGAGCUGAGGGUUGUCUCAAGCACUUUGAGGCAAGAGUGGAUUUUGUAACAGGGCUGAGGGGUGAAGUACAUUAGUCUGCUGUGUUGCUGGAAUUCAGGAAGUUGUGGGUUUGUUUUCAAGAGUGCAUGUGAAGCCUGAAACCCAAAGAGCAUCUGCUUUUUACACAAACAUCACUCAAGGUUGGUAGCUGAGACGCAGCGACCUUGGCUGCGACACAGGGAUCUCCAAAUGGAGCAGAACUCUCGGCUUUCCUGUCAGACUUCCCUACAAUCUCUGCUGUUAAUCAAACGCUGCAAUAGCACCUCUUUAAAGCUUGAUUUUGGUGAAUUUAUUUAACCUUGUGCAUGACAGGAAUUGCGCAGAGCCAAGGAAUGACAUUUACUUGACCCUCAUCUUGGAGGUUUGCCGGAGGAACGUGUCCUUGUCAGCCCAGAGCUGGCUGGGAGCUCUGGGAGCCACAGAGCGGGGAAAAGUCAGGGGAAAGGGGCGUCUUGUCAACUGCUCUGCCAGUGCCCUCCCUUUGGAAAUACUGCCGGAGCUUACGUGUUGAAGGUGAAGUAAAUACUAAUAAAGCUGCCGUUAAUUAAAA